This 875-nucleotide long non-coding RNA is filed under the name Mus musculus (house mouse). Its description in RNAcentral is "long non-coding RNA chr14:29840856-29841731". Lineage: Eukaryota; Metazoa; Chordata; Mammalia; Rodentia; Muridae. The record is from RNAcentral.
AUCCUUUAAGUUGAUUUCUGGAGGCACUGUAUCACAGAGAUGGAAAGCUGACGCAUACAUACAGUGUCGGGGUUUCUGCACUUGCAGGAUCUGUGCGCAUGCCUGUGGGUCAGGAAGGGCUGGCUUCAUAACUGUCUCUUACACGUCCCUUCUCUCCUGCCUUCGACAUAUUGAAGGCCAACCUAUAAACAGUUCCCCCUUUGGGUCCCCGAUGCUGAGGAGAGACAAGAACAAGAGAUGGUGAAACUGGAGUUUCUGCCCUCAAGAUGCCAGGAGAUGCAAGUCUUCUUUCUUCAAUAUGCAAACUGUGACCAGACUCACUGCAUGGAGGAUUCUGGGUAAUUCCUGAAUGGAAUCUGACCAAUCACAUUGGGAAGUGUAGGACCCAAGAGGUCUGAGUUAAUCUGUAAACCUCCCAUCUGAGGAACAGCCAGAGUGAGAGUUGCCAUACUUGUGUGGGUAACAGUCUAUGCCUAAACUAGGCAUUGUCUACAGUCACAAAAGUGUUCUAAGCAAUAUCCGAGUAGUCACUUUUAAGCCACUGGGAAAUCAUUGGUGCCAAUGACUGACAUUUCCAGAAAUCUAAGAGUUGGUACCGAGCAGAGCCAAGGGAAGUACCUGUGAGACGCUCCUCCGUGCCUACAUCUGUGUUGUCUUACAGGUCUGACAGCUCAGCCUGGUAGAGCUCAGCCUGGCAGAGCAGGACAGAGGCAGUGUCUGAACAGACUCACAGAUGGCUCGUCCUUCCUUGCUGUGCGACCCUGGAAGAGUUUACUCAUCCAUUCCCAUCCUUGGCUUCCUCCCCCUAAAACAGCGAGCUGAUACCACCUUCCUCACAGGAUUACUAGAGCCUUAAAUAAGAAGUUUAAAUGUGC